Xyrauchen texanus (razorback sucker) is the source of this 414-nucleotide long non-coding RNA. RefSeq lists it as uncharacterized. The transcript is spliced from 3 exons. NCBI's taxonomy places the organism in Eukaryota, Metazoa, Chordata, Actinopteri, Cypriniformes, Catostomidae. The record is from RefSeq and is a predicted model, not a curated record.
GCUCUCAUGGCCAUGGAAAACCCUGCCGUUCCUCAAAGAAAAACAAGGAAAAGCAGGAAGAGAUCCUUCACUAAUCCACUGGUCACAGGCAGGCGUGAGAAACGUCGGGAAACACACUGCCCUGGAUCAGUUGCUUCUCAAUCAAGAAGAAGGGAUCCUGUGCAUGAGGAAGGCCUUCAGAUAGAAGAUCAAGAGUUGGCAAGUCUUGAAACAAGGCUCCAAGAGUUAAGGGACACCAUAACUGCAGUGCAGGUUCCGGAGGGAACAGACAGACUGGUUUCUGCUUGGGAACAAAGGCAGCUUCUCACAGAUGUGAGAAUGAAAAGUGCUAGGCCUAUGCUUUUUGAUGCAAAGCUCUCAGCCCAGAGAGUUUUCAUCCAAAAUUGUCACAGAUGCUGUGUUGUAGAAGCUGUG